AGUGAACGCUGGCGGUAGGCCUAACACAUGCAAGUCGAACGGCAGCACAGUAAGAGCUUGCUCUUACGGGUGGCGAGUGGCGGACGGGUGAGGAAUACAUCGGAAUCUACUUUUUCGUGGGUGAUAACGUAGGGAAACUUACGCUAAUACCGCAUACGACCUACGGGUGAAAGCAGGGGAUCUUCGGACCUUGCGCGAUUGAAUGAGCCGAUGUCGGAUUAGCUAGUUGGCGAGGUAAAGGCCCACCAAGGCGACGAUCCGUAGCUGGUCUGAGAGGAUGAUCAGCCACACUGGAACUGAGACACGGUCCAGACUCCUACGGGAGGCAGCAGUGGGGAAUAUUGGACAGUGGGCGCAAGCCUGAUCCAGCCAUACCGCGUGGGUGAAGAAGGCCUUCGGGUUGUAAAGCCCUUUUGUUGGGAAAGAAAAGCAGCAGGUUAAUACCCCGCUGUUCUGACGGUACCCAAAGAAUAAGCACCGGCUAACUUCGUG
Molecule: ribosomal RNA, 492 nt
Filed under: uncultured bacterium
Lineage: Bacteria
Description: partial 16S ribosomal RNA
Rfam family: Bacterial small subunit ribosomal RNA
Source: RNAcentral